Molecule: ribosomal RNA, 253 nt
Filed under: uncultured bacterium
Lineage: Bacteria
Description: partial 16S ribosomal RNA
Rfam family: Bacterial small subunit ribosomal RNA
Source: RNAcentral
UACGGAGGGUGCGAGCGUUGUCCGGAAUCACUGGGCGUAAAGGGCGCGUAGGUGGCGCCGCAAGUCAACGGUGAAAGCUCGACGCUUAACGUCGAGUCGGCCGUCGAGACUGCGGGGCUCGAGCACUGUAGAGGCUCAUGGAAUUCCGGGUGUAGCGGUGGAAUGCGUAGAGAUCCGGAAGAACACCGGUGGCGAAGGCGGCGCUCUGGACCGAGACUGACGCUGAGGCGCGAAAGCGUGGGGAGCAAACAGG